GUAAGGGAUAUUGCGCAAUGGGCGAAAGCCUGACGCAGCAACGCCGCGUGUCCGAGGAAGGCCUUCGGGUCGUAAAGGACUUUUCGGGGAGAAGAGGAAGGACGGUACCCCCGGAAAAAGUGUCGGCUAACUACGUGCCAGCAGCCGCGGUAAAACGUAGGACGCGAGCGUUAUCCGGAGUUACUGGGCGUAAAGGGCGGGUAGGCGGACUAAGAAGUUGAUCGUGAAAUCUCCCGGCUAAACUGGGAGGGAGCGGUCGAAACUGAUAGACUAGAGGACAGCAGAGGGUCGCGGAAUUCCGGGUGGAGUGGUGAAAUGCGUAGAGAUCCGGAGGAACACCAGAGGCGAAAGCGGCGACCUGGGCUGUAGCUGACGCUGAACCGCGAAAGCCAGGGUAGCGAACGGGAUUAGAAACCCGUGUAGUCC
Molecule: ribosomal RNA, 426 nt
Filed under: uncultured bacterium
Lineage: Bacteria
Description: bacterial SSU rRNA
Rfam family: Bacterial small subunit ribosomal RNA
Source: RNAcentral